UAUAUUUUAGUGUAAGAAGCACAAAAACUUUUGAUGUUUUUAGGAAUAGUUUAAUUCUGUUAAAUAUAA
RNAcentral lists this transfer RNA (69 nucleotides) under Coenomyia ferruginea. Its description in RNAcentral is "tRNA-Gln". The record is from RNAcentral. Lineage: Eukaryota; Metazoa; Arthropoda; Insecta; Diptera; Xylophagidae.